AUAACCUGGAAUGUUUUAACAUGCGAGUGAUUUCGUACUAUCGCUUAUACACAGAAUAUCAAAUGCAUCUUUAAAGCAACAGGCCAACUCUGCACAGAACAGACAAGAAUCAACGGCGACGUCAGCAAAGCAGCACUACCUCCGCCAGUCCAGAUACCUGCCAGGUAUGAAUUCAAAGAGCACCUGUACAGACAGACAGAAGGGCAACAAGAACCAGUUUGGAAACUUGCCUUGUAAAUCCAAGGGACAGGACUUUGGCAACAACAAAGAUUCCUUCAUCAGCCCCUUUUACAACAGUGGGUAUUACUCAUCGUCUUUGCUAGACAGACAGAAGAACACUCUGGCCCCGAUAGUUGCAUCUGCCAUUGACCUGUCCACUGCUGCCAACUUGAGAAAAGACAUGAAUCCAAAAACUUCUAAGAGGGACAAUUCAAACAAGCUUUUCACAUCACAUGACGAUGAGAAUAGAUGGAGCAACAGAUCAUUCUGCAACGAAACACCAAGAUCUACCAGGACUGUGAAGACUACUUUUGGUCGAAACUCAAAUCUCGCCCCGGUGCACGGGAGAGUGGAUUGGAUGGCCAAAUAUGGAGGUUUCCGGUAGCACAUAGAGAUGACUCAAAAGCACAGAAGAGUGGACAAUAAAACCUCUAUUAAGGCCUCCAUGUUAGGACAGUCGGAUGAGGCCAAGAUUAAUGUUAAGGAACGUGAAAUUACAUGAAGAGAAUAAAAUGAAAAACAGAGAACUUUCCUGCAUUUCGAUGCAACUACGUAGCCUGAAGAACAUCAACCCUAAUAGCUCUUGUUUAUAGUUACAACAAUGGCAAACGAUUAUUAAUCAACUUAGUUAUUUUACACAAA
Molecule: long non-coding RNA, 861 nt
Filed under: Neogobius melanostomus (round goby)
Lineage: Eukaryota; Metazoa; Chordata; Actinopteri; Gobiiformes; Gobiidae
Description: lncRNA (ENSNMLG00000016903.1)
Source: RNAcentral